RNAcentral lists this ribosomal RNA (253 nucleotides) under uncultured Gemmata sp. RNAcentral describes it as "partial 16S ribosomal RNA". It matches the Rfam family "Bacterial small subunit ribosomal RNA", at positions 524 to 776 of the family's 1533-position model. The record is from RNAcentral. Lineage: Bacteria; Pseudomonadati; Planctomycetota; Planctomycetia; Gemmatales; Gemmataceae.
GACGAACCGUGCAAACGUUGUUCGGAUUCACUGGGCUUAAAGGGCGCGUAGGCGGUCGAUCACGUCCGGGGUGAAAUCUUUCGGCUUAACCGGAAAAUAGCCUGGGAUACGGAUCGGCUGGAGGGAGGUAGGGGCAGGUGGAACUUCCGGUGGAGCGGUGAAAUGCGUAGAUAUCGGAAGGAACGCCGGUGGCGAAAGCGACCUGCUGGACCUCUUCUGACGCUGAGGCGCGAAAGCUAGGGGAGCGAACGGG